AUUGAACGCUGGCGGCAUGCCUUACACAUACAAGUCGAACGGCAGCGGGGGAGAAGCUUGCUUUUCCUGCCGGCGAGUGGCGAACGGGUGAGUAAUACAUCGGAACGUGCCCUGUAGUGGGGGAUAACUAGUCGAAAGAUUAGCUAAUACCGCAUACGACCUGAGGGUGAAAGUGGGGGACCGCAAGGCCUCAUGCUAUAGGAGCGGCCGAUGUCUGAUUAGCUAGUUGGUGGGGUAAAGGCCUACCAAGGCGACGAUCAGUAGCUGGUCUGGGAGGACGAUCAGCCACACUGGGACUGAGACACGGCCCAGACUCCUACGGGAGGCAGCAGUGGGGAAUUUUGGACUAUGGGCGAAAGCCUGAUCCAGCAAUGCCGCGUGUGUGAAGAAGGCCUUCGGGUUGUAAAGCACUUUUGUCCGGAAAGAAAUGGCUCUGGUUAAUACCUGGGGUCGAUGACGGUACCGGAAGAAUAAGGACCGGCUAACUACGUGCCAGCCGCCGCAGUAA
This 508-nucleotide ribosomal RNA is filed under the name uncultured bacterium. RNAcentral describes it as "partial 16S ribosomal RNA". It matches the Rfam family "Bacterial small subunit ribosomal RNA", at positions 30 to 523 of the family's 1533-position model. The record is from RNAcentral.